This 729-nucleotide ribosomal RNA is filed under the name Bacillus pumilus. Its description in RNAcentral is "bacterial SSU rRNA". It matches the Rfam family "Bacterial small subunit ribosomal RNA", at positions 44 to 757 of the family's 1533-position model. Lineage: Bacteria; Bacillati; Bacillota; Bacilli; Caryophanales; Bacillaceae. The record is from RNAcentral.
GUGCUAAUACAUGCAAGUCGAGCGGACAGAAGGGAGCUUGCUCCCGGAUGUUAGCGGCGGACGGGUGAGUAACACGUGGGUAACCUGCCUGUAAGACUGGGAUAACUCCGGGAAACCGGAGCUAAUACCGGAUAGUUCCUUGAACCGCAUGGUUCAAGGAUGAAAGACGGUUUCGGCUGUCACUUACAGAUGGACCCGCGGCGCAUUAGCUAGUUGGUGGGGUAAUGGCUCACCAAGGCGACGAUGCGUAGCCGACCUGAGAGGGUGAUCGGCCACACUGGGACUGAGACACGGCCCAGACUCCUACGGGAGGCAGCAGUAGGGAAUCUUCCGCAAUGGACGAAAGUCUGACGGAGCAACGCCGCGUGAGUGAUGAAGGUUUUCGGAUCGUAAAGCUCUGUUGUUAGGGAAGAACAAGUGCGAGAGUAACUGCUCGCACCUUGACGGUACCUAACCAGAAAGCCACGGCUAACUACGUGCCAGCAGCCGCGGUAAUACGUAGGUGGCAAGCGUUGUCCGGAAUUAUUGGGCGUAAAGGGCUCGCAGGCGGUUUCUUAAGUCUGAUGUGAAAGCCCCCGGCUCAACCGGGGAGGGUCAUUGGAAACUGGGAAACUUGAGUGCAGAAGAGGAGAGUGGAAUUCCACGUGUAGCGGUGAAAUGCGUAGAGAUGUGGAGGAACACCAGUGGCGAAGGCGACUCUCUGGUCUGUAACUGACGCUGAGGAGCGAA